RNAcentral lists this long non-coding RNA (412 nucleotides) under Carica papaya (papaya). RNAcentral's name for it is "long non-coding RNA (CPAP_LNC014912)". Lineage: Eukaryota; Viridiplantae; Streptophyta; Magnoliopsida; Brassicales; Caricaceae. The record is from RNAcentral.
AAAAAAAGGAAAAAGAAUAAUCAAAAUAACAAAUACGCUAUGUUGGAUCGAGUAAUGUGCUUUUAGGCAUUUUCUUCAUAAUUUUUUGGCUUCAUUUAACUACUGAUUCGAAGGUUGUGUCUUAAGUUGACAUGGUCACUCAUUCUUGGAAUAUGAUUUGUCGAUGAGUCAACAUUGUUUGGCAAUCCCCCGUAAGAUGGAGAAUAAAUUCUCUACUCUCAUAGUGAAUAUAUGUGAACAAGAACAAUGAACCAGGGAGUCCCUUACUUGUUUAGUAGUCAAACUUUCAUCUUUCUCCUCUAAGGUGCCAAUCAAGCUCAACAUGCUUUAUUUGUUCAUUAAAUACUAGAUUUGUUGUAAUGUCUACUGCAGCCUUAUUAUCACAAGAUAAUAUAAUUGCUUGAGGAUGUUC